This 541-nucleotide ribosomal RNA is filed under the name uncultured Gallionellaceae bacterium. RNAcentral's name for it is "bacterial SSU rRNA". It matches the Rfam family "Bacterial small subunit ribosomal RNA", at positions 135 to 671 of the family's 1533-position model. The record is from RNAcentral. Lineage: Bacteria; Pseudomonadati; Pseudomonadota; Betaproteobacteria; Nitrosomonadales; Gallionellaceae.
AAUGGGGGAUAACGUAGCGAAAGUUACGCUAAUACCGCAUAUGCCCUGAGGGGAAAAGUGGGGGAUCGCAAGACCUCACGUUUUCGGAGCGGCCGAUAUCGGAUUAGCUAGUAGGUUGGGUAAAGGCUGACCUAGGCGACGAUCCGUAGCUGGUCUGAGAGGACGACCAGCCACACUGGGACUGAGACACGGCCCAGACUCCUACGGGAGGCAGCAGUGGGGAAUUUUGGACAAUGGGGGCAACCCUGAUCCAGCCAUGCCGCGUGAGUGAAGAAGGCCUUCGGGUUGUAAAGCUCUUUCGGACAGAAAGAAAUCGCCAUUCCUAAUACGAGUGGUGGAUGACGGUACUGUAAGAAGAAGCACCGGCUAACUACGUGCCAGCAGCCGCGGUAAUACGUAGGGUGCGAGCGUUAAUCGGAAUUACUGGGCGUAAAGCGUGCGCAGGCGGUUUCGUAAGACAGACGUGAAAUCCCCGGGCUUAACCUGGGAACUGCGUUUGUGACUGCGAGGCUAGAGUGUAGCAGAGGGGGGUAGAAUUCCA